Molecule: long non-coding RNA, 3623 nt
Filed under: Pan troglodytes (chimpanzee)
Lineage: Eukaryota; Metazoa; Chordata; Mammalia; Primates; Hominidae
Description: long non-coding RNA NONPTRT009793
Source: RNAcentral
UAUUACGGUACUCAUCCUUUUGUGCAUGUAAGGACUCAUUUCUCCUGGAUGUGUAAGCAAGAGUGGAAAUGCUAGGCCAUAGGGUAGAUGCGUAUUUAACUUGAUGAGAAGCUGGUCAGUUUCCUGCCGUGGGUGCAACAAAGCAUAUUUGCACCAGCAGCGCCUGGGGGCUGCUCUUCUCCGUAUCCCCACCAGCAGUUGGUACUGGCAGACCUUCUCCUCUGAGCUAUUCUGAUAGUGGGGCAGUGCGAUUUCACGGUUUUUAAUGAGAUGUGGAGCACCUUUCAGAGGCUGGCCUGGUUUUUGUAGCUGCCCUAGGCAGCCCUGAGGAGGGAUGGGAGGGGGGUUGGUGAAGAGGAUGUUCCUGCAACCCAGGUGUGAGACGGGAGAGCCCUGAGUUAGGUUGAGGCUAGAAGGCAGGCAGAGGAUGGGAUGGAGAGCUGUGUUGGGGGGACGGUGGGAUGGUGAGGAUGGACGGCAGAGCUGCCAGUGGCAGGCAUCCCAUCUCCCAGUGGCUAGGAACACUCCUGAUCUCCUAAGGCAAGCAGUGCCGAGACAGGGCAGCACAAGGCCGGAGGAUUUGAUGGCACGGGGUCCUGGCUCUUUCUCCUUUGCCAUUUUUAGCUAUUGAUGAGGGAAGAUGGCGACAGGGCCAGGAGAGAGGUGUCCUCUCCUUGCGCCACCCUCCCCCUUUUUUUUUGAGAUGGAGUUUUGCCCUUGUCACACAGGCUGGAGUGCAGUGGUGCGAUCUUGGCUCACUGCAACUUCUGCCUCCUGGGUUCAAGUGAUUCUCCUGCCUCAGCCUCCUGAGUAGCUGGGAUUACAGGUGCUUGGCACCACGUCUGGCUAAUUUUUUGUAUUUUUAGUAGAGACGGGGUUUCACCAUGUUGGCCAGGCUGGUCUCGAACUCCUGACCUCAGGUGAUCCCCCUGCCUUGGCCUCCCAAAGUGCUAGGAUAAUAGGCAAGAGCCACCGCGCCCGGCCUCUUGUGCCUCUUUUUAAGACCAAGGACACCCUUCCCAGAUGACCUCCUCCACCCCACUCCCAAGACUUCCCCUCGCAUUUCACUGGCUUGCGUGAACUGCAAGCCUUGUCCAUUCCUCAACCAAUCCCUGGCAAGGGAAUGGGAAACAAUCUCUUCCCACUCCACGAGGUCACUCUCCUGUGGCUCUUUGCCUGAACACACCAGGGACGUCUGCUCCUGCUGGUGCCUCCGCGUGGGAAGGCCCUUCCUGAUUCUUCCAUCUGGAAGAGUCAUCUUUCAAAGCUGCCUCCAAAGGCAGUCUUCUACCUGCAGGCUGGGUCAGGGUCUCCUCUGGGUUCUCACAGCCUUCCAGGACCCCUACCGGAUGUGGCCUGUUUCUGUGGCUCAGAAAUGGGACCUCUUCCCAGCCCCAUGCAACCAUAAUCAGCACAGCCAGCCAUGGUGAGGACUCCCAGCCCGCUGGACCUGUGCCUGGCAGCCACAACCCUGCCCUCACCCCUGCCCAGGGCUGGGCAUGACCUCUGGGAAAAGCCUCAGGAGAGGACUGGGACUGAAAGAAAAACACCCAUUUGAUGGAGAAGCAAAGUGAGGCUCAGUGAGGGGUGUGACUUGCCCAAGGUCAUGGUCAGGGCCAGUCUUAGCCCCAGGCCUCUCUCUCAGGCCUGGGCCCUGGGCCCUACUCCAGGGCUCCUCAGACUUUGAAGGUCACGUGAAUCACUGGGGCACCCUGUUAAAAUGCAGACGCUGGUUCAGUAGGUUGGGGUGGGACUGGACUUGCUAUUUCCCACAUGCUUCCGCUGCCACUAGCCUGCAAGCCACACUGGGGGUGUCACAGUCUGUACUAAGGGAGACCUUGGAUUUUCAGCCCCACCCUCAGAAGCCUAGAGGCCGCUGCUUUAGGAAGGGUGGGGUGUGGGUAGGGUGUGAGUGGGGAAGCCACUUCAAGAAACCCCAAUCUCCAUUCCUGUUCUGCCAGCCAUCUAGGACACCAGAGCUGCUGGAACGUUUUAUUAAGUUAAGAGGUUCAGGGAGCAGGAGAGAAACACCUUUUGGGUGGCUCUGGCGGUUCUGCACCCAGCACAGCCUCGAAGGAGGCUGUGGGGCCAUGGAGGCCAGCUGCUAGCUCCCUCUGUCCUGAGCCCCAUGGUAUGGGUCCAAAUGGGGCAGGAAGUGUUAGUAGGAGGUAGGGUAGGAAGAGGGUGGCAGGCUCCCGCCUCUCCCCUGUAGAGACACCCCGCCAUGGCUGCUGCCUGGGCCUCCGCCAGACCCCUGGGCUAGGGCCACCAGCUCAGAAGCCCAAGCAGAGGGUGGCUGGAGACAGAGGGGGACCAGGGUUGGAGGCACACAGCCACCAGGAAUUGCUUUUUUUUUUUUUUUUUUUUAAGUAUAAAGUGUUUUGGAAAAAAAGGAAAAAAAUCUAUAUAAAAAUCUCUUCACAUAUAAAAUCCUGAAGAAGGUGCAAGGUAAGACCCAGUGCGAGGGGCGCGCUCAGAUAUGCAGUGUGUGUGUGUGUGUCCGUGUGUACAUGUGUGCACGUGUGUGUGUAUGUGUCUGUGUGUGUGUGUGUGUGUGGUGGGUGCAAGUGCACGUGUGGCCCACAGAGGGUGGGGAGAAAGCUUGGCUUUUUACUUCCAUCCAGGAGGGAAGGAGGGCGGCUGGUCCUCCAGCCUGGAGGGUCUGCAGCUGGGCGGGACCUGAAAGACAAGGUGCGGCAGGGCUGAGGCCUGGGCUGAGGGGCUGCGAGGCCACCCCGAGGCCAAGCAAGGGUGCUGAGUGGGUCCUUCCACCACCUCUCAGCCCCUAAGGUACAGCCAGAUCCGCUCUUCCUGGCUCCUUCCCAAGCAGCUCAGCCAUAGGGUGGCCUCUCCUGCAUGCCUUAGGAAGUCUAUGAGGACUUAUCAGAAAGAGGAUGCUCCAGGUAGAUGUGGCGUUGAAAAAGCAAAAAUAAGAACACUUUGGCCAGGUGCAGCGGCUCACACCUGUAAUCUCAGAAUUUUGGGAGGCUGAGGCAGGUGUAUUGCUUGAGCCCAGGAGUUCGAGACCAGCCUGGGAAAUCACGGCGAAACCCCACCUAUACAAAAAGUGCAAAAAUUAUCUGGGCAUGGUGGUGAGGGCCUGUGGUCCCAGCUACUCAGAAGGCUGAGGUGGGAGGAUCCCUUGAGCCUAGGAGGUUGAGGCUGCAGUGAGCCAUGAUUGCACCACUGCACUCCAGCCUGGGUGUCAGAGUAAGACCUUGUCUCAAAGCAACCAAAACCAACCAACCAACCAACCAACCAACCAACCAACCAACCAACCAACCACUUUGAGCCCUGCUAAGUCAAGAAGGAGUGUUAAGACUAACUGGGAUAGAAGCCCGGCCUCAGCGUGCGAUGUGUGUGUGUGAAGCUCAGUGGAGAUUCACUGUGGGGGUCAGGGAUGUGCACGCUGCAUUUGCCUCCAGCCCCAAGAAGGGGGGUGCACUGAGCAGGCUGUGGCUCUGCACUGUGCCGCCCAGCUCUGGAGGAACAGGCUUAAGCUGAUGAAGCAGCCUGUGGCCCGGGUCUGAUGGGAUCUCUGCAACAACCCCGUGUUGCUGGUUUCAUUGUCCUUUUUACAGAACGGGAAUUGGAGGCCAGAAGAAGGAAGUGGCCUGGCUGGG